GACGAAGGUGGCAAGCGUUGUUCGGAUUCACUGGGCAUAAAGGGCGCGUAGGCGGUUCCGAAGGUGGCGCGUGAAAUCCCCCGGCUCAACCGGGGAACGGCGCGCCAAACCGCGGUUCUCGAGGGCGGUAGGGGGGACUGGAACUCUUGGUGGAGCGGUGAAAUGCGUAGAUAUCAAGAGGAACACCGGUGGCGAAGGCGAGUCCCUGGUCCGCAUCUGACGCUGAGGCGCGAAAGCGUGGGUAGCAAACAGG
RNAcentral lists this ribosomal RNA (253 nucleotides) under uncultured bacterium. RNAcentral describes it as "partial 16S ribosomal RNA". It matches the Rfam family "Bacterial small subunit ribosomal RNA", at positions 524 to 776 of the family's 1533-position model. The record is from RNAcentral.